AACGAACGCUGGCGGCAGGCCUAACACAUGCAAGUCGAACGAGAAAGUCCUUCGGGAUGAGUACAGUGGCGCACGGGUGAGUAACGCGUGGGAAUGUACCCUUUAGUACGGAAUAACCCCGGGAAACUGGGAUUAAUACCGUAUACGCCCUUCGGGGGAAGGAUUUAUCGCUAAAGGAUCAGCCCGCGUAAGAUUAGAUAGUUGGUGGGGUAAUGGCCUACCAAGUCGACGAUCAGUAGCUGGUCUGAGAGGACGACCAGCCACACUGGGACUGAGACACGGCCCAGACUCCUACGGGAGGCAGCAGUGGGGAAUAUUGGACAAUGGGCGCAAGCCUGAUCCAGCCAUGCCGCGUGAGUGAUGAAGGCCUUAGGGUUGUAAAGCUCUUUCACCGAUGAAGAUAAUGACGGUAGUCGGAGAAGAAGCCCCGGCUAACUUCGUGCCAGCAGCCGCGGUAA
Molecule: ribosomal RNA, 458 nt
Filed under: uncultured bacterium
Lineage: Bacteria
Description: partial 16S ribosomal RNA
Rfam family: Bacterial small subunit ribosomal RNA
Source: RNAcentral